RNAcentral lists this ribosomal RNA (130 nucleotides) under Scleroderma polyrhizum. RNAcentral describes it as "partial 28S ribosomal RNA". It matches the Rfam family "Eukaryotic large subunit ribosomal RNA", at positions 1 to 128 of the family's 3401-position model. The record is from RNAcentral. Lineage: Eukaryota; Fungi; Basidiomycota; Agaricomycetes; Boletales; Sclerodermataceae.
CUUGACCUCAAAUCAGGUAGGACUACCCGCUGAACUUAAGCAUAUCAAUAAGCGGAGGAAAAGAAACUAACGAGGAUUCCCCUAGUAACUGCGAGUGAAGCGGGAAAAGCUCAAAUUUCGAAUCUGGCGG